GCCUUCGUGGCGUAAACGGCUAGCGCGUUCGGCUGUUAACCGAAAGGUUGGUAGUUCGAGCCCACCCGGGGACG
RNAcentral lists this transfer RNA (74 nucleotides) under Trichonephila clavipes. It matches the Rfam family "tRNA". Rfam says of the family: Transfer RNA (tRNA) molecules are approximately 80 nucleotides in length. Their secondary structure includes four short double-helical elements and three loops (D, anti-codon, and T loops). Lineage: Eukaryota; Metazoa; Arthropoda; Arachnida; Araneae; Nephilidae. The record is from Rfam by way of RNAcentral.